Molecule: long non-coding RNA, 985 nt
Organism: Serinus canaria (Common canary)
Lineage: Eukaryota; Metazoa; Chordata; Aves; Passeriformes; Fringillidae
Exons: 3
Source: RefSeq, a predicted model, not a curated record
ACCCCCCCAUCAUCAUCAUCAUCAUCCUCAUCAUCCUCAUCCUCCUCCCCGAGAGCCCUGCCCUGCGGGCUCCUGCAGCCCAGCUCUGCCCUGGGGCCUGGCAGAACGCUGCUCCUGGCUAUCCCAUCCCUGGAAAGGGCCCUGCCAUAAAACAUCUCCAGUUUAUCCCAUCUGCCCUAAAACAUCUCCUGGUUUAUCCCAUCUGCCCUAAAACAUCUCCAGUUUAUCCCAUCUGCCCUAAAACAUCUCCUGGUUUAUCCCAUCUGCCCUAAAACAUCUCCUGUUUAUCCCAUCUGCCCUAAAACAUCUCCAGUUUAUCCCAUCUGCCCUAAAACAUCUCCAGUUUAUCCCAUCUGCCCUAAAACAUCUCCAGUUUAUCCCAUCUGCCCUAAAACAUCUCCUGUUUAUCCCAUCUGCCCUAAAACAUCUCCAGUUUAUCCCAUCUGCCCUAAAACAUCUCCUGGUUAUCCCAUCUGCCCUAAAGCAUCUCCCAGUUUACCCCAUCCCAUGGAACAGGCCCUGCCCUAAAACAUCUCCCAGUUUACCCCAUCCCACAGCAGCCAGGAGUUUGGGAUGUGGCUUGCAGGGAUUUUGGGAAUGAGCUGCUCCCUGGCUCUCCCAGGGCUGUGCCCCCACCCCACCCUGGGGGUGUCUGGGGUCCUGUGACCCCCCAGCCCCUCAGCAGGCACAGCUGGGUUUGGAUCCUCCUGUGGGAUCCCAAAAACACCCAGAGCCCUCCAUAACCCUCAGCCUGCCCCUCACCAGGUUGUGGUCAGGAACUAACGAGUUCUAAUUAGCAGAGCUGACGAACUUUUGGGCUGCUCUGUGCCCUUCAUCCAUCCUCAGCUGGGAAUGUGCAGCGAUCCCUUCCCUGCCCCUGCAGCAGCAGCAGCAGCAGCACGUGGCCCCUCUCAGGAGGAGCUUGCAGUGGGGAGAAGCUCAGGAAAUGGGGACAAACAGCAGAAAAAAAUGACUUUUUUUUUUU